RNAcentral lists this unclassified non-coding RNA (334 nucleotides) under Bombus terrestris (buff-tailed bumblebee). RNAcentral's name for it is "misc RNA ENSBTSG00005030465.1". The record is from RNAcentral. Lineage: Eukaryota; Metazoa; Arthropoda; Insecta; Hymenoptera; Apidae.
GUCGAACCUUUCUCUGGGUUCCUUUCACCUGACAGGUGCAGCCGCGUGUAAUGGCUGAUGUGUGCACGCAAGUGCAGGUGCAGAGAUACGAGUCGAUUCGUAGCGAGGUACGGAAAAGGCGGCAUGAUUUCGUUGUGGCUUACGCGAGACGAGAUAAAUGGCUGUUGGCUCGGCGCAGCAGCGUUUCGCAAACGAAACCGGAAAUGUUGGCCCGCCUUCCGACCGGUAUCCGAGAUACGAAAAGUAUGCCGAUUUGAGAUAAAUUGUCGUAGCUGACAAGAAAAUUUUCUAUAAGUAAAGACUGAUUUAGUCACUGGUGAAAAAUCUGGUGGAG